ACGGGCUAAAGUUUUCCUAAAUAAUCCAAGGUGAAUCCAGUAUCUUAAUGGAUAUCCUAAUGGAGCGAUACACUCUCCUAUUCGAACAAAACCGAAAAUAUGCCGCCGAAUCUCCUAUCUUCAACCCUAACAUUCACCCAGUCAAGCUUGCCAUUUCUCCAUUUGAAACGAAUAUGAGCGGCCAUGAUUCCAGCUCAAUCAUCUGAAUCGACUCAAGCUUGCAAUAUCAACGCCGAUAAUUAAAUCGCAGCAACAAGGAGCGUCUAUGGUUCACGUCUUCUUAUGGUUCUACGGAUUACAUUGCAGAUCGUGACUCAGAGUAGCGUCACAUUUGGAAUUCAACAUCCUCUCAUCUCAGAAAAUUAAAACAAGACUCAAGCAGAAGUUGACUAUGCUUGAGGUUCAAUUAUCGGGAUUUAUCGUCUUCAACGCAUCGAAACAGAAACGAAAUCGAGACAAAAACUAAAAUGGAGCAAGGGAAGAACUCACCGGUUUGAAGUGAUUUCGACGCGGUUGCUCCGUCGAUGAUAAUGAACUGAAAAGGAUGGGCUUGAAUCAGGUUAUAACUCCUCUUCUCUUUGUCGCACCUAAACUCCGCCGCUAAAUCCAACUCGGAGCUCGAAUGCACUCGUCGAUGCGUAGGAUUCCGGAAUCAUUCGCUCCUCAUCAAAGCUCCAUGGUUCGGCCAAGAUUUACAAAGCUCUGAGGCUCAGUUAGAAACUCUGAUAGAUAACAGGUAUGAUUUCCCUUCUUCUUAUUCAACUCUUCAACUCUUCUGCGUUUUGAUUACUUCUGUGUCGCAUUGUGGAAUUCUGCAGAUAGAGGUUGCAGAAUCAAGGUGAAGGUUGUGCAAAACCGAAUGGUUGGAGAAGAGGUGGAGAUGGAGGUUUGAAGGUGUGUAACAGAAUGAAGGUGGUGGAGAUUGAAGAUGGAAACGAGAUCGUGGAGGUUUUUGCAAAAAUGGAAGUUUUGAUGCAGUAGAGAAAAUCCAACGCCCCAGAAGCAUACAGGUCAUUCCAUGGUUUCUUUUCUCUAGUUUUAUGAGGAGCGCAGCAAGAUUGUGAUCGGGAUAAAGUGUGACGGCGUCAGGCUCAUCAGCCAGGACAUAUGCAACCCUAGCAAUAGUCUUCACAAGCCCUUCGAGAAAUGGUUUCACCGAAGUUCUUGAUAGCAGAAACCUCCCUUUUUUUAUAUAACAGGUGGAUGCAAUGGUUCAUGUGUGUAGGUUGGAUCUAAUGGACGUUGUACUGUAUUAAUGAAUAAUGGUUAUAAAUAUUUGAAAUUCAUAUUGGUUGUUAAAUGGAUACUUAUUAUGUUGAUUGGUUA
Lathyrus oleraceus (garden pea) is the source of this 1326-nucleotide long non-coding RNA. RefSeq lists it as uncharacterized. Lineage: Eukaryota; Viridiplantae; Streptophyta; Magnoliopsida; Fabales; Fabaceae. The transcript is spliced from 2 exons. The record is from RefSeq and is a predicted model, not a curated record.